UCGAGCGAACGGACGAGAAGCUUGCUUCUCUGAUGUUAGCGGCGGACGGGUGAGUAACACGUGGAUAACCUACCUAUAAGACUGGGAUAACUUCGGGAAACCGGAGCUAAUACCGGAUAAUAUUUUGAACCGCAUGGUUCAAAAGUGAAAGACGGUCUUGCUGUCACUUAUAGAUGGAUCCGCGCUGCAUUAGCUAGUUGGUAAGGUAACGGCUUACCAAGGCAACGAUGCAUAGCCGACCUGAGAGGGUGAUCGGCCACACUGGAACUGAGACACGGUCCAGACUCCUACGGGAGGCAGCAGUAGGGAAUCUUCCGCAAUGGGCGAAAGCCUGACGGAGCAACGCCGCGUGAGUGAUGAAGGUCUUCGGAUCGUAAAACUCUGUUAUUAGGGAAGAACAUAUGUGUAAGUAACUGUGCACAUCUUGACGGUACCUAAUCAGAAAGCCACGGCUAACUACGUGCCAGCAGCCGCGGUAAUACGUAGGUGGCAAGCGUUAUCCGGAAUUAUUGGGCGUAAAGCGCGCGUAGGCGGUUUUUUAAGUCUGAUGUGAAAGCCCACGGCUCAACCGUGGAGGGUCAUUGGAAACUGGAAAACUUGAGUGCAGAAGAGGAAAGUGGAAUUCCAUGUGUAGCGGUGAAAUGCGCAGAGAUAUGGAGGAACACCAGUGGCGAAGGCGACUUUCUGGUCUGUAACUGACGCUGAUGUGCGAAAGCGUGGGGAUCAAACAGGAUUAGAUACCCUGGUAGUCCACGCCGUAAACGAUGAGUGCUAAGUGUUAGGGGGUUUCCGCCCCUUAGUGCUGCAGCUAACGCAUUAAGCACUCCGCCUGGGGAGUACGACCGCAAGGUUGAAACUCAAAGGAAUUGACGGGGACCCGCACAAGCGGUGGAGCAUGUGGUUUAAUUCGAAGCAACGCGAAGAACCUUACCAAAUCUUGACAUCCUUUGACAACUCUAGAGA
RNAcentral lists this ribosomal RNA (963 nucleotides) under Staphylococcus aureus. RNAcentral describes it as "bacterial SSU rRNA". It matches the Rfam family "Bacterial small subunit ribosomal RNA", at positions 62 to 1006 of the family's 1533-position model. The record is from RNAcentral. Lineage: Bacteria; Bacillati; Bacillota; Bacilli; Caryophanales; Staphylococcaceae.